GAUGAACGCUGGCGGCGUGCUUAACACAUGCAAGUCGAACGAUGAAGCCCAGCUUGCCGGGUGGAUUAGUGGCGAACGGGUGAGUAACACGUGAGUAACCUGCCCUUAACUCUGGGAUAAGCCUGGGAAACUGGGUCUAAUACCGGAUAGGAGCGUCCACCGCAUGGUGGGUGUUGGAAAGAUUUAUCGGUUUUGGAUGGACUCGCGGCCUAUCAGCGUGUUGGUGAGGUAAUGGCUCACCAAGGCGACGACGGGUAGCCGGCCUGAGAGGGUGACCGGCCACACUGGGACUGAGCCACGGCCCAGACUACUACGGGAGGCAGCAGUGGGGAAUAUUGCACAAUGGGCGCAAGCCUGAUGCAGCGACGCCGCGUGAGGGAUGACGGCCUUCGGGUUGUAAACCUCUUUCAGUAGGGAAGAAGCGAAAGUGACGGUACCUGCAGAAGAAGCACCGGCUAACUACGUG
Molecule: ribosomal RNA, 466 nt
Filed under: uncultured bacterium
Lineage: Bacteria
Description: partial 16S ribosomal RNA
Rfam family: Bacterial small subunit ribosomal RNA
Source: RNAcentral